This 1469-nucleotide ribosomal RNA is filed under the name metagenome. RNAcentral's name for it is "bacterial SSU rRNA". It matches the Rfam family "Bacterial small subunit ribosomal RNA". The record is from RNAcentral.
AGAGUUUGAUCCUGGCUCAGGACGAACGCUGGCGGCACGCUUAACACAUGCAAGUCGAACGAGAGAAGAGGAGCUUGCUUUUCUGAUCUAGUGGCGGACGGGUGAGUAACACGUGAGCAAUCUGCCUUUCAGGGGGGGAUACCGAUUGGAAACGAUCGUUAAUACCGCAUAACAUAAUUGAACCGCAUGAUUUGAUUAUCAAAGAUUUAUCGCUGAAAGAUGAGCUCGCGUCUGAUUAGCUAGUUGGUAAGGUAACGGCUUACCAAGGCGACGAUCAGUAGCCGGACUGAGAGGUUGAUCGGCCACAUUGGGACUGAGACACGGCCCAGACUCCUACGGGAGGCAGCAGUGGGGAAUAUUGCACAAUGGAGGAAACUCUGAUGCAGCGAUGCCGCGUGAGGGAAGAAGGUUUUAGGAUUGUAAACCUCUGUCUUCAGGGACGAAAAAAGACGGUACCUGAGGAGGAAGCUCCGGCUAACUACGUGCCAGCAGCCGCGGUAAUACGUAGGGAGCGAGCGUUGUCCGGAAUUACUGGGUGUAAAGGGAGCGUAGGCGGGAUCGCAAGUCAGAUGUGAAAACUAUGGGCUUAACCCAUAAACUGCACUUGAAACUGUGGUUCUUGAGUGAAGUAGAGGUAAGCGGAAUUCCUAGUGUAGCGGUGAAAUGCGUAGAUAUUAGGAGGAACAUCAGUGGCGAAGGCGGCUUACUGGGCUUUAACUGACGCUGAGGCUCGAAAGCGUGGGGAGCAAACAGGAUUAGAUACCCUGGUAGUCCACGCCGUAAACGAUGAUUACUAGGUGUGGGGGGACUGACCCCUUCCGUGCCGCAGCAAACGCAAUAAGUAAUCCACCUGGGGAGUACGACCGCAAGGUUGAAACUCAAAUGAAUUGACGGGGCCCGCACAAGCAGUGGAGUAUGUGGAUUAAUUCGAAGCAACGCGAAGAACCUUACCAGGUCUUGACAUCGUAUGCAUAGCUCAGAGAUGAGUGAAAUCUCUACGGAGACAUAUAGACAGGUGGUGCAUGGUUGUCGUCAGCUCGUGUCGUGAGAUGUUGGGUUAAGUCCCGCAACGAGCGCAACCCUUACUGUUAGUUGCUACGCAAGAGCACUCUAGCAGGACUGCCGUUGACAAAACGGAGGAAGGUGGGGAUGACGUCAAAUCAUCAUGCCCCUUAUGACCUGGGCCUCACACGUACUACAAUGGCUGUCAACAGAGGGAAGCAAAGCCGCGAGGUGGAGCGAACCCCUAAAAGCAGUCUUAGUUCGGAUUGUAGGCUGCAACCCGCCUACAUGAAGUCGGAAUUGCUAGUAAUCGCAGAUCAGCAUGCUGCGGUGAAUACGUUCCCGGGCCUUGUACACACCGCCCGUCACGCCAUGGGAGUCGGUAACACCCGAAGCCUGUAGUCUAACCGCAAGGAGGACGCAGUCGAAGGUGGGAUUGAUGACUGGGGUGAAGUCGUAACAAGGUA